UGCCAUUAUGAUGACACUUAUUUGCUACUCUUGAAUAGGAUGAUGAGAAUACUUCACCACCUUUGUUAAAAACUGAGGCA
Euleptes europaea (tarantolino) is the source of this 80-nucleotide small nucleolar RNA. RefSeq annotates it as small nucleolar RNA SNORD24. The record is from RefSeq and is a predicted model, not a curated record. Lineage: Eukaryota; Metazoa; Chordata; Lepidosauria; Squamata; Sphaerodactylidae. The transcript has a single exon.